AACGCGAAGAACCUUACCUGGGCUAGACAACGGUGGACCGCCUGAGAAAUCAGGCUUUCCCUUCGGGGACUGCCGGUUCAGGUGUUGCAUGGCUGUCGUCAGCUCGUGUCGUGAGAUGUUGGGUUAAGUCCCGCAACGAGCGCAACCCUUGUCUCAUGUUGCCAGCGGGUAAUGCCGGGGACUCGUGAGAGACUGCCGGGGUCAACUCGGAGGAAGGUGGGGAUGACGUCAAGUCAUCAUGCCCCUUAUGUCCAGGGCUUCACACAUGCUACAAUGGCCGGUACAAAGGGCUGCGAUACCGCAAGGUUAAGCGAAUCCUUUUAAAGCCGGUCUCAGUUCGGAUCGGGGUCUGCAACUCGACCCCGUGAAGUCGGAGUCGCUAGUAAUCGCAGAUCAGCAACGCUGCGGUGAAUACGUUCCCGGGCCUUGUACACACCGCGCAUA
This 444-nucleotide ribosomal RNA is filed under the name uncultured bacterium. RNAcentral's name for it is "bacterial SSU rRNA". It matches the Rfam family "Bacterial small subunit ribosomal RNA", at positions 958 to 1398 of the family's 1533-position model. The record is from RNAcentral.